UGACUAGCAAGUAUGCUGCUUUUUUUUUGAGAACCCAAAAUAUGAUUUCACCACUGAUAGCAAAUAAGGAAAGAGAACGAGUACCACACGGAAAGUGAAAGUGAAGUCGCUCAGUCGUGUCCGACUCUUUGCGACCCCACGGACUGUAGCCUACCAGGCUCCUCCCUCCAUGGGAUUCUCCAGGCAAGAGUACUGGAGUGGGUUGCCAUUUCCUUCUCCAGGGAAUCUUCCCGACCCAGGGAACAACCUCCCAAAAUUAAACAGUCUCAUAACACAGAAGAUGACGGUUGGCCGACUCACUGAAGCCCCUGGGUUCACUUUUUGCCGAGUUAUUAAUAUAAUUUCAGCCCUGACCUAAUGUCAAGAAGCAGUUAGGGAACAACCGCAGAAUACUGCUUCCCAAGUCUAAAAAAGACGCCCCUGCCGUGCCAUUGUUGCCACAAUGCCGUGACUCGGAUUCGAACCGAGGUUGCUGCGGCCACAACGCAGAGUACUAACCACUAUACGAUCACGGCGAGCUACUGGGACGCCGCGAGUAAUGCGUCACCCAGUGUCGUCCUCGUCUAGAUGGCUGCCGCCCUCGCCUGCCCAAGUUGCUCACUAUCAGCCCCUCCGGUUCUGGCACAAAGCCUGAAGCGGAGUAGAGGCGCCGUAGACCCCGGGCCGAAGUCUCUGUUGAUCGUCCGCCUGGACCGUUAAAGUACUUUGCAAACUAAAGGACCCUUGGGACGCCGGGCCUGCGAACCGGACUCUCACGCAGCCUGGAGGGGAUGUGAGGCCUGCGUCAGCGGGUCGUCCGAAUAGCGGCGCGGGUCUCCUCUCACACCCAUUGUGCCCUGGCGCUCGUGCUGUCUGAACAGGCUCUGGCUGGGAAUGGGACUGUCUCUUAACUCUCACAAGAAGAAAAAUCAGUUCGGGCCCACAGCACAACUUUCUUCGAGAUGCGGAGUAAGAUAACCCCAAGACACCUCGCACCGCGGUAGUGAAACCGCAAGAUCUGUCCCGCGGGCGAGUGCGGACUGAUAUUCAGACAGCUGAAACACAGUGCGCCUGCGUGCGCACGGACAGAGCGGCGAGGCUUGAGAUGGGCGGGAAUUAGCAAUGUCACAGCCAGGGGGCGGGGCUUUAAACAGAGAAGAGCUCAGGCGAGAAGCGAAAGACACAGGUCCCCAGUAGCUCGCCGUGAUCGUAUAGUGGUUAGUACUCUGCGUUGUGGCCGCAGCAACCUCGGUUCGAAUCCGAGUCACGGCAGUGCGAAAGCAGUGGCACGGCAAGGGGGCUUCAUUUUAGCCUUCGCCUCCAUUUUUUUUUUAAUCUUCAGUUUGUGACAAUUUUCUCGAAAAUGGAUCCCAAUCCCCUCGUGACAGAAACGAUAUUUACGCCAGGUCUGGCUACACUGGAUUUCGGAAGAAUAUAGGCUUCCGCUUACACUGGGCUACGCACGUUAUCCGGCACAACCCAAACAAAGCACAGAACACUCAAGAGGCAAAGUGCUAAAAUUAACAUAUGUACAAAUUUCCAUAGCAGCACUGGAAAUGGGCUUCCGGUAAUAGAAGUCUUCGCAGAAGAAGUGACCUUGGAAGUAGCUCUUUACAGGCAGAAAGGGAAUUUGUCAAGCAGCAAGCAGCCAGGAUAAUCUCGUGAGCUAAGGUCUUGAAAUGGAACGAAGAGAAUUCCUCUUUGCAGGUCUUCUCUUCAUCUCAUCCCCACGACGCUUACAGGCCCUGGUCGGAAAGGUAGUAUUAAGCGCUUCUCAAGGACCUGUUGAAAGCAAGUAACUAAGAAAUGGGAAACGACACUGAGGAAAGUCCACAAGAUGAACUGUUAAAGGCUCCGCAGUCGAGGGGUGUUGGGAAGAGAGGUAGAGGAGUGCGAUUCCAUUCGGGUUUAGCAGGAUCCUUCCGACUGCUCUGCAGUGGGGGAAGGGGGGUAGUGAUUAGAGCAGACGACACUGGAGAAAGACGGGUGGUCCCUCUGGAUUCACUCAUUAGAACCAGUGGCACGUUCUGUUUAGCAAAAAGGCACUGCCUACUGUGGACUCAGCCUGGUUCUAGGCGCCUUGCGGACGAAAGCUCCGAUGUAUCCAGAAGGAAAAUCGGGCUCCCUCCCUGCUGCGCUCAGGGACACAACAGAGGAUGGCACCGGAUCCGGCGGAAACACAGGUUGGAAGGUCAGAAUUCAUUUGGAGACCCUCUGAAGGCAGGAGGAGGAGGGGUUGAAUGGCAUCACCGACUGGAUGGACAUGAGUUUGAGCAAGCUCCAGGAGUUGGUGAUGGACAAGGAAGACUGGCAUGCUGCAGUCCAUGGGGUCGCAGAGUCAGACACGACUGUGCGACUGAACUGAACUGGACUUCCAUUUUUUCCUUAUUGUCAGAAUCCAACUUAAAUCACAAACCACUCAAGUUAGAAAAUUCAAGUUCAGUGAAGGUAGAACUGAAUCCUACUAUGUUUGUGUUCCAAGAAUACAGCCUCCCCAUAAAUAUUUGAACAGAGAUAUCUUAUGGAGUCCAUAAAUGAGAUAAGUGGCCCAGUUUGCUGUAUGGCUGCAUUUUAAGUUGUAUUCUUGCAACACAGAACCAUGUUAUUUUUAUACCAGAAAACAUGACUCAAAUGAAGCUCCAUCUACAUGCAGAAUAUCUAAGAACAGAAGUCAUAUAUUUGGGAUAUGUUUGUCUUCUCAAGGUUGUGGACAGAGAUGAACACAAGGCAAGGCUGGAGACCAAAGGCAAGGGCCAGACUUAGAAGAAGACAAAACCAGAAGGAAUGAGAGUUCAGAAUGGGACUGGGCAUUCAAAGGCAAGCAAAUAGAAGUAAGGACAUCCCAUGCAGUACCCAGCAAGGGAAGUGAGCACUAAGGACUAGGCUUUGGGACAUGUGCAAACUUACCAAGUUAAGGGAGGAAGAGAGGAUUUGUCUUGAGAGAAAAGAGAGCAGCAUCAUUUCAAGAAAAGUUUGGAAGAAGAGGGUUUUACGCAUAGAGGAGGUCAGCAGACAGGAGAAAGAGAAAUGAGAAGUCACUGGUCUUAACACAUAAAAGUCGUUGACUUUUAAAACCUUCUGUGAGAGCAAACAGAUAACGUGUAACAAGAGUCAGAAAAAAAUAUACACUCUUUGCCCCAAUAACUCCACUUUUGGGAAUCUUGCCAAAGGAAAUUAUCCUAAACUUGGAAAAUUUAUCCACAUAAAGAUGUUUGUUACAGUUAUUUAGAAGGGAGGAGAAUGGAAAUAGCCUAAAUGCUCAACAAAUAAAGUGAUAAACUAAAGUAUGUUCAUUUGAUGAGAUAUUAAAUAGCCAUUUUUAAAGUA
Long non-coding RNA from Bubalus bubalis (water buffalo), 3306 nucleotides. RefSeq lists it as uncharacterized. Lineage: Eukaryota; Metazoa; Chordata; Mammalia; Artiodactyla; Bovidae. The record is from RefSeq and is a predicted model, not a curated record. The transcript has 2 exons.